GAUGAAGAACGUAGCAAAAUGCGAUAAGUAAUGUGAAUUGCAGAAUUCAGUGAAUCAUCGAAUCUUUGAACGCACAUUGCGCCCCUUGGUAUUCCGAGGGGCAUGCCUGCUCGAGCGUCAUUAUAACCCCUCAAGCUCAGCUUGGUGUUGGGGCCUGCUGCACUGGCAGCCCUUAAAAUCAGUGGCGGCGCCAUCUGGCUCUAAGCGUAGUAAUUCUUCUCGCUAUGGAGUCCUGGUGGAUGCUUGCCAUCAACCCCCAAUUUUUCUAUGGUUGACCUCGGAUCAGGUAGGGAUACCCGCUGAACUUAAGCAUAUCAAUAAGCGGAGGA
This 329-nucleotide unclassified non-coding RNA is filed under the name soil metagenome. RNAcentral's name for it is "partial contains 5.8S ribosomal RNA, internal transcribed spacer 2, and large subunit ribosomal RNA". The stretch from base 1 to 120 matches the Rfam family "5.8S ribosomal RNA", at positions 35 to 154 of the family's 154-position model. The record is from RNAcentral.